RNAcentral lists this ribosomal RNA (469 nucleotides) under uncultured bacterium. Its description in RNAcentral is "SSU rRNA". It matches the Rfam family "Bacterial small subunit ribosomal RNA", at positions 26 to 518 of the family's 1533-position model. The record is from RNAcentral.
AGGACGAACGCUGGCGGCGUGCUUAACACAUGCAAGUCGAACGGAAAGGCCCUUCGGGGUACUCGAGUGGCGAACGGGUGAGUAACACGUGGGUGAUCUGCCCCGCACUUUGGGAUAAGCCUGGGAAACUGGGUCUAAUACCGAAUAGGACCAUGGCAUGCAUGUGCUGUGGUGGAAAGCUUUUGCGGUGUGGGAUGGGCCCGCGGCCUAUCAGCUUGUUGGUGGGGUUAAGGCCUACCAAGGCGACGACGGGUAGCCGGCCUGAGAGGGUGUCCGGCCACACUGGGACUGAGAUACGGCCCAGACUCCUACGGGAGGCAGCAGUGGGGAAUAUUGCACAAUGGGCGCAAGCCUGAUGCAGCGACGCCGCGUGGGGAUGACGGCCUUCGGGUUGUAACCCUUUCAGUAGGACGAAGCGCAGUGACGGUACCUACAGAAGAGCACCGGCCAACUACGCGCCAGCAGCCGC